UGCAGAGGGUGCAAUCGUUAAUCGGAAUUACUGGGCGUAAAGGGCGCGUAGGUGGAUAAGUGUGUUGGAUGUGAAAGCCCCGGGCUUAACUCGGGAAGGUCAUUCAAAACUACUUGUCUAGAGUGCAGUAGAGGGAAGUGGAAUUUCCGGUGUAGCGGUGAAAUGCGUAGAUAUCGGAAGGAACACCAGUGGCGAAGGCGGCUUCCUGGACUGUAACUGACACUAAGGCGCGAAAGCGUGGGGAGAAAACAGG
This 253-nucleotide ribosomal RNA is filed under the name uncultured bacterium. Its description in RNAcentral is "partial 16S ribosomal RNA". It matches the Rfam family "Bacterial small subunit ribosomal RNA", at positions 524 to 776 of the family's 1533-position model. The record is from RNAcentral.